ACUUAAAUAGCUUAAAUAUUAGAGCGUGACAUUGAAGAUGUUAAGGUAACUUUUUGUUUUUAGGUA
This 66-nucleotide transfer RNA is filed under the name Ochrophlegma sp. TAMUIC IGC OR279. RNAcentral's name for it is "tRNA-Phe". It matches the Rfam family "tRNA". Rfam says of the family: Transfer RNA (tRNA) molecules are approximately 80 nucleotides in length. Their secondary structure includes four short double-helical elements and three loops (D, anti-codon, and T loops). The record is from RNAcentral. Lineage: Eukaryota; Metazoa; Arthropoda; Insecta; Orthoptera; Pyrgomorphidae.